GGUCUCACUAUGAACUUCAGGCUAGCCUUCAUGGAUUCUUCUAUCUCCAACCCCCAAAUGCUGGGAUUCUAUCAAACCUGCCAAGCAGACAUUUUGAUUCCAACUGUAUCCCCAGGAUGUUCCCACCCCCAUCAGAAUUCCUUGAAUUUCAUUGGUGGAUCUAAAUCAGCCACAGACGGAGGCUCACAAAUGAAGGUCCCUGCGCAAGACACUGCUGUGAGCAAUGAGCAUAGUGAAGUCUGCACUGCCAGUGUGGGAAACGUAAGCUUGACUUUAGGACCUCACAGACCUGGAUGAGACCCCUGGCUCUGCCCCGCCCCCACUUCUGUGACGCUGGUGAGCUGACCCCUCUGUAUUGGAGUUGUCUAACGGACCAGAACUAACAAAAGUUCACUUACUAGAACGUCUCAAUCAACAAGGACUGGGUCAUCCAACAGUGUCCUCCUGCGCAAAGGAGGGGCCUGAGAACCCGGUAGCUGCUCAGUACACACAGAUGAACCCUCAGCAGUCCCAGUAUGGCACCAAAAGCCUGGAAAGUUCCUGGAGCCUCUAAUCUUCAGUCCACAUUGAAACCCAAAGACACGAGUGUGAGGUCAGUGGAAGAUGGCUCCAGCAAAGAUAGCAACAGAGACGAACAUGCUCACCACAGAAAGUAUCAGCAGCAAGGAAAGACACGCUAACCACGGGAAAUACCAGCAGCAGAGGUGGCAUGCUCACCACCGAGACACAAAGGCAGGAAGGAGACGCUACCCUUUCCUUGGGCCACUCUUUUGGUGUCAGCAAGAGGAUACAUCCCUGUCCUUGAUCCUGAGUCCUCUGCUAGAGUGCUUUCCCUGUUCUCAGCCAGGUCAUCACGCACGCUACAGACAACCGCCCAGGAUUCCAGGAUACAGGCUUCUCAAAGACAAAGUCACUGCCCCAAUAGAGGACAGACUCCAGCUUUUCCUUCCACAAGGUUUCUUGCAAGUGUGUGUGUGUGUGUGUGUGCAUGUGCGUGUGCACGUGUGUGUGUGUGUGUGUGUGGUGUGUGUGUGUGUGUGUGUAAGCAAGUGUAAAUAUCAGUUAUCUUUCUCAACUACUCUCCACUAUUUUUGUUGUUGCUGCUGUUGUUUUGUUUGAUUUGGUUUUGUUUGGGGGCAAGAUUGUCUGUCUUUUGUUUUGUUUUUGAGACAGGGUCUCUCAUUGAAUGAAGAGCUGAUUUGACUGAUUUGAAAACAAGCCCAAGGGAAUCUUCCAGCCUGUCUCUGCCUCCCCAGCUCUGAGAUUACAGGCAUGCACACUUGACUCUUUCUAGAGUUCUGAAAACUCCAAACUCAAAUCCUCACAGUUGCUGAGAAAGCACUUUUGUAGCUGGGCCAGGUCCCCAACCCCUGGGCUCUCUCUGUACUCUGCCUCAUGAAACACAAAACCACUCAGGAUGUUUGCCAAAUGUUCCAGUUGUCAAAUAAAAGGAAGACCAUCAGAGGCCUGACA
This 1473-nucleotide long non-coding RNA is filed under the name Mus spicilegus (steppe mouse). RNAcentral describes it as "lncRNA (ENSMSIG00000006278.1)". The record is from RNAcentral. Lineage: Eukaryota; Metazoa; Chordata; Mammalia; Rodentia; Muridae.